RNAcentral lists this transfer RNA (67 nucleotides) under Camelus bactrianus (Bactrian camel). It matches the Rfam family "tRNA". From Rfam's summary of the family: Transfer RNA (tRNA) molecules are approximately 80 nucleotides in length. Their secondary structure includes four short double-helical elements and three loops (D, anti-codon, and T loops). Lineage: Eukaryota; Metazoa; Chordata; Mammalia; Artiodactyla; Camelidae. The record is from Rfam by way of RNAcentral. RNAcentral also lists the same sequence under 1 other name.
GAGGGUAUAGCGGUAGAGCACAUGCUUAGCACGCACGAGGUCCUGGGUUCAAUCCCCAGUACCUCCU